AGAGUUUGAUCCUGGCUCAGGAUGAACGCUGGCGGCGUGCUUAACACAUGCAAGUCGAACGAAGCACUUUAACCUGAUUCUUCGGAUGAAGGUUUUUGUGACUGAGUGGCGGACGGGUGAGUAACGCGUGGGUAACCUGCCUCAUACAGGGGGAUAACAGUUAGAAAUGACUGCUAAUACCGCAUAAGACCACAGAGCCGCAUGGAUCGGUGGGAAAAACUCCGGUGGUAUGAGAUGGACCCGCGUCUGAUUAGGUAGUUGGUGGGGUAACGGCCUACCAAGCCAACGAUCAGUAGCCGACCUGAGAGGGUGAUCGGCCACAUUGGGACUGAGACACGGCCCAAACUCCUACGGGAGGCAGCAGUGGGGAAUAUUGGGCAAUGGGGGGAACCCUGACCCAGCAACGCCGCGUGGAGGAAGAAGGUUUUCGGAUCGUAAACUCCUGUCCUUGGAGACGAGUAGAAGACGGUAUCCAAGGAGGAAGCCCCGGCUAACUACGUGCCAGCAGCCGCGGUAAUACGUAGGGGGCAAGCGUUGUCCGGAAUAAUUGGGCGUAAAGGGCGCGUAGGCGGCUCGGUAAGUCUGGAGUGAAAGUCCUGCUUUUAAGGUGGGAAUUGCUUUGGAUACUGUCGGGCUUGAGUGCAGGAGAGGUUAGUGGAAUUCCCAGUGUAGCGGUGAAAUGCGUAGAGAUUGGGAGGAACACCAGUGGCGAAGGCGACUAACUGGACUGUAACUGACGCUGAGGCGCGAAAGCGUGGGUAGCAAACAGGAUUAGAUACCCUGGUAGUCCACGCUGUAAACGAUGAUUACUAGGUGUGGGGGGUCUGACCCCUUCCGUGCCGGAGUUAACACAAUAAGUAAUCCACCUGGGGAGUACGACCGCAAGGUUGAAACUCAAAGGAAUUGACGGGGGCCCGCACAAGCAGUGGAGUAUGUGGUUUAAUUCGACGCAACGCGAAGAACCUUACCAAGUCUUGACAUCCCUUGACAGGCAUAGAAAUAUGUUUUCUCUUCGGAGCAAGGAGACAGGUGGUGCAUGGUUGUCGUCAGCUCGUGUCGUGAGAUGUUGGGUUAAGUCCCGCAACGAGCGCAACCCUUAUGGUCAGUUACUACGCAAGAGGACUCUGGCCAGACUGCCGUUGACAAAACGGAGGAAGGUGGGGAUGACGUCAAAUCAUCAUGCCCUUUAUGACUUGGGCUACACACGUACUACAAUGGCGUUAAACAAAGAGAAGCAAGACCGCGAGGUGGAGCAAAACUCAGAAACAACGUCCCAGUUCGGACUGCAGGCUGCAACCCGCCUACACGAAGUUGGAAUUGCUAGUAAUCGCGGAUCAGCAUGCCGCGGUGAAUACGUUCCCGGGCCUUGUACACACCGCCCGUCA
RNAcentral lists this ribosomal RNA (1385 nucleotides) under uncultured bacterium. RNAcentral describes it as "16S ribosomal RNA". It matches the Rfam family "Bacterial small subunit ribosomal RNA". The record is from RNAcentral.